Molecule: non-coding RNA, 84 nt
Organism: Bombyx mori (domestic silkworm)
Lineage: Eukaryota; Metazoa; Arthropoda; Insecta; Lepidoptera; Bombycidae
Source: Rfam
UUAACUUAUAUUUGUAUGGAGUUGGAACGUUUACCUACUUUUGCCGCUAGGGGCGUUGUUCCAACUGCAUACAAAUUUGAGUUA